RNAcentral lists this ribosomal RNA (253 nucleotides) under uncultured bacterium. RNAcentral's name for it is "partial 16S ribosomal RNA". It matches the Rfam family "Bacterial small subunit ribosomal RNA", at positions 524 to 776 of the family's 1533-position model. The record is from RNAcentral. RNAcentral also lists the same sequence under 1 other name.
UACAGAGGGGGCAAGCGUUGUUCGGAAUUACUGGGCGUAAAGGGCGCGUAGGCGGCCGACUAAGUCAGACGUGAAAUCCCAUGGCUCAACCAUGGAACUGCGUCUGAUACUGGACGGCUUGAGUUCGGGAGAGGGAAGUGGAAUUCCAGGUGUAGCGGUGAAAUGCGUAGAUAUCUGGAGGAACACCGGUGGCGAAGGCGGCUUCCUGGACCGACACUGACGCUGAGGCGCGAAAGCCAGGGGAGCAAACGGG